GGAAUCUUGCGCAAUGGGCGAAAGCCUGACGCAGCAACACCGUGUGGGCGACGAAGGCCUUCGGGUCGUAAAGCCCUGUUGUUGGGGACGAAGGGCGAAGGGUUAAUAGCCCCUAGUCUGACGGUACCCUUCGAGGAAGCCCCGGCUAACUACGUGCCAGCAGCCGCGGUAAUACGUAGGGGGCGAGCGUUGUCCGGAAUUAUUGGGCGUAAAGAGCGUGUAGGCGGUUCGGUAAGUCUGCCGUGAAAACCCGGGGCUCAACCCUGGGCGUGCGGUGGAUACUGCCGGGCUAGAGGGUGGUAGAGGCGAGUGGAAUUCCCGGUGUAGCGGUGAAAUGCGCAGAUAUCGGGAGGAACACCAGUAGCGAAGGCGGCUCGCUGGGCCAUUCCUGACGCUGAGACGCGAAAGCUAGGGGAGCGAACAGGA
This 426-nucleotide unclassified non-coding RNA is filed under the name plant metagenome. Its description in RNAcentral is "partial contains 5.8S ribosomal RNA, internal transcribed spacer 2, and large subunit ribosomal RNA". It matches the Rfam family "Bacterial small subunit ribosomal RNA", at positions 358 to 777 of the family's 1533-position model. The record is from RNAcentral.